CGUAGGGUGCGAGCGUUAAUCGGAAUUACUGGGCGUAAAGUGUGCGCAGGCGGCAGAGCUAAGUCGAGUGUGAAAGCCCCGGGCUUAACUUGGGAAUUGCGCUCGAAACUACUUUGCUGGAGUGUGGCAGAGGAAGGUGGAAUUCCACGUGUAGCGGUGAAAUGCGUAGAGAUGUGGAGGAACACCAAUGGCGAAGGCAGCCUUCUGGGCCAACACUGACGCUCAUGCACGAAAGCGUGGGGAGCAAACAGGAUUAGAUACCCUGGUAGUCCACGCCCUAAACGAUGACGACUAGUUGUUGGAGGAGUUAAAUCCUUUAGUAACGCAGCUAACGCGCGAAGUCGUCCGCCUGGGGAGUACGGUCGCAAGAUUA
Molecule: ribosomal RNA, 373 nt
Filed under: uncultured organism
Description: bacterial SSU rRNA
Rfam family: Bacterial small subunit ribosomal RNA
Source: RNAcentral